CCUACGGGGGGCAGCAGUGGGGAAUAUUGCACAAUGGGCGCAAGCCUGAUGCAGCCAUGCCGCGUGUAUGAAGAAGGCCUUCGGGUUGUAAAGUACUUUCAGCGGGGAGGAAGGCGAUAAGGUUAAUAACCUUGUCGAUUGACGUCACCCGCAGAAGAAGCACCGGCUAACUCCGUGCCAGCAGCCGCGGUAAUACGGAGGGUGCAAGCGUUAAUCGGAAUUACUGGGCGUAAAGCGCGCGCAGGCGGUCUGUCAAGUCGGAUGUGAAAUCCCCGGGCUCAACCUGGGAACUGCAUUCGAAACUGGCAGGCUGGAGUCUUGUAGAGGGGGGUAGAAUUCCAGGUGUAGCGGUGAAAUGCGUAGAGAUCUGGAGGAAUACCGGUGGCGAAGGCAGCCCCCUGGACAAAGACUGACGCUCAGGUGCGAAAGCGUGGGGAGCAAACAGGAUUAGAUACCCCAGUAGUC
This 465-nucleotide ribosomal RNA is filed under the name uncultured Enterobacter sp. RNAcentral describes it as "bacterial SSU rRNA". It matches the Rfam family "Bacterial small subunit ribosomal RNA", at positions 338 to 795 of the family's 1533-position model. The record is from RNAcentral. Lineage: Bacteria; Pseudomonadati; Pseudomonadota; Gammaproteobacteria; Enterobacterales; Enterobacteriaceae.